Molecule: RNA transcript, 1661 nt
Organism: Physeter macrocephalus (sperm whale)
Lineage: Eukaryota; Metazoa; Chordata; Mammalia; Artiodactyla; Physeteridae
Gene: CLTA
Gene name: clathrin light chain A
Exons: 9
Source: RefSeq, a predicted model, not a curated record
UUCCGCUUCCGUCUUCUCCCUCCUCCCGCUUGCUCUCAGUCGCCACCACAGCGGCCGCUGCUGGGCGCGGAGUCUGCUGGUCGGUUGGUGUGUCUCUCAACCUCGGUGUCCGUGCUGUUGAACUGCCCGCCAUGGCUGAGUUAGAUCCGUUCGGCGCCCACGGUUGCGGACCCGCGCUGGGGAACGGAGUGGCCGGCGAAGAGGACCCUGCCGCGGCCUUUUUGGCGCAGCAGGAGAGCGAGAUUGCGGGCAUCGAGAACGACGAGGCCUUCGCUAUCCUGGACGGCGGCGCCCCCGGGCCCCAGCCGCACGGCGAGCCGCCGGGGGGUCCGGGGGUUAAGAUUCUGUGCUGUCCUAGACUGCUUGAAUAUGCUGUUGAUGGAAUCAUGAAUGGCGAAUACUACCAGGAGAGUAAUGGGCCAACAGACAGUUAUGCAGCUAUUUCACAAGUGGAUCGAUUGCAGUCAGAGCCUGAAAGUAUCCGUAAAUGGAGAGAAGAGCAAACAGAACGCUUGGAAGCCCUUGAUGCCAAUUCUCGGAAGCAGGAAGCAGAGUGGAAAGAAAAAGCAAUAAAGGAGCUGGAUGAGUGGUAUGCGAGGCAGGACGAGCAGCUACAGAAGACGAAAGCAAAUAACAGGGUGGCAGAUGAAGCUUUCUACAAACAACCCUUCGCUGACGUGAUUGGUUAUGUCACAAACAUAAACCAUCCUUGCUACAGCCUAGAACAGGCAGCAGAAGAAGCCUUUGUAAAUGACAUUGAAGAGUCGUCCCCAGGCACUGAGUGGGAGCGAGUGGCCCGGCUGUGUGACUUUAACCCCAAGUCCAGCAAGCAGGCCAAAGAUGUCUCCCGCAUGCGUUCUGUCCUCAUCUCCCUCAAGCAGGCCCCCCUGGUGCACUGAAGAGCCACCCUGUGGAAACACUACAUCUGCAAUAUCUUAAUCCUACUCAGUGAAGCUCUUCACGAAGCUGGCAGUCCUUGAGCCCCCAUGUAAAAAGCUCUACAAUCCUGAAGCCACCAUGCUAUGAGGAAGCCCAAAUCAGCCCACGUGGAGAGACCUGGAAACUACAAAGAGAGGAUGCAUGGCCAGCCCUAUUCCAGCUCCAGCCACUGUCUAACUGCAAGUGCAUCUGAUGCCCUGAGUCAGAAUUGCUAAGUAGAGCCUUUCCAAAAUUCCUGACCCACAGAAACCAUAAGAGAAAAUGACUACCGUUUAAGCCUCUUAAGUUUUGAGGUGGUUUGUUACAUAGCAGUAGUAGCUUUGGAUUGUUUCUAAUGCCUACAUUACUCACAUGGGGCUUCAUAAAAAGGAAGGAGUUGGUUCAGAAACUCAGUGAGUGCUCAAUAUUUAGUUUCAAACCUCUUUCUUGGGACCACUUUGCUUUUUAUGUCAGAUUUUAAAUGGAUUCAACAUAGUACUGGAAGUCCUAACCAGAGCGCUUAGGCAAGAAAAGAAUAAAAGGCAUCCACGUUGGAAAGGAAGAAAUAAAACUUUCACUAUUUGCAGAUGACAUGAUUUUAUAUAUUAAAAACCCUAAAGACUCCACCAAAAAACUGUUACUGAUAACAACUAAUAAAUGAAUUACGUUGUAGGAUACAAAAUUAGUAUACAGAAAUUUGUUGCAUUUCUGUACACUAAUAACGAACUAUCAGAAAGAGAAAU